This 494-nucleotide ribosomal RNA is filed under the name uncultured bacterium. Its description in RNAcentral is "partial 16S ribosomal RNA". It matches the Rfam family "Bacterial small subunit ribosomal RNA", at positions 28 to 507 of the family's 1533-position model. The record is from RNAcentral.
GACGAACGCUGGCGGCGUGCUUAACACAUGCAAGUCGAACGGAAAGGCCUUCUUUCCUUUGUGGUUUGCGGGUACUCGAGUGGCGAACGGGUGAGUAACACGUGAGUGAUCUUCCCCCAACUUGGGUAUAAGCCUGGGAAACUGUGUUUACUUCUCGAUAGUACUGGUGGGUGGAGCCUGUGUUGGGACACGACUUUCUUGUGGGUGCGGAUGAGCUCGCGGCUUGUCAGCUUGGUGGUGGGGUAAUGGCCUACCAAGGCGGCGAAGGGUAGCCAGCCUGAGAGGGGGGACGGUCACAUUGGGACUGAGAUAAGGCCCAGACUCCAACGGGAGGUAGGAGUGGGGAAUAUUGCACAAUGAGCGGAAGCCUGAUGCAGCGACGCCGCGUGGGAGAUGACGGCCUUCGAGUUGUAAUCUCCUUGCGACGGAGAGGAAGCCACCUGGUUGGAAGGGUGGUGACGGUAGUGGUAGAAGAAGCACCGGCUAACUACGUG